RNAcentral lists this ribosomal RNA (433 nucleotides) under uncultured bacterium. Its description in RNAcentral is "partial 16S ribosomal RNA". It matches the Rfam family "Bacterial small subunit ribosomal RNA", at positions 29 to 507 of the family's 1533-position model. The record is from RNAcentral.
AACGAACGCUGGCGGCAUGCCUAACACAUGCAAGUCGAACGAGACCUUCGGGUCUAGUGGCGCACGGGUGCGUAACGCGUGGGAACCUGCCCUUAGGUUCGGAAUAACUCCCCGAAAGGGGUGCUAAUACCGGAUAAUGUCUUCGGACCAAGGAUUUAUCGCCUUUGGAUGGGCCCGCGUUGGAUUAGCUAGUUGGUAGGGUAAAAGCCUACCAAGGCGACGAUCCAUAGCUGGUCUGAGAGGAUGAUCAGCCACACUGGGACUGAGACACGGCCCAGCCUCCUACGGGAGGCAGCAGUGGGGAAUAUUGGACAAUGGGCGAAAGCCUGAUCCAGCAAUGCCGCGUGAGUGAUGAAGGCCUUAGGGUUGUAAAGCUCUUUUACCCGGGAUGAUAAUGACAGUACCGGGAGAAUAAGCGCCGGCUAACUCCGUG